CAAUAGCGUAUAUUAAAGUUGUUGCAGUUAAAAAGCUCGUAGUUGGAUUUGUGGUGUACUUUGGCGGCCCGUCACUAUGUGAUGGAGUUUGCUGAAGUCGCCAUCCUUGGGUGGAUCCUGUGUGGCAUUAAGUUGUCGUGCAGGGGAUGCCCAUCGUUUACUGUGAAAAAAUUAGAGUGUUCAAAGCAGGCUUAUGCCGUUGAAUAUAUUAGCAUGGAAUAAUAAGAUAGGACCUUGGUACUAUUUUGUUGGUUUGCGCACCAAGGUAAUGAUUAAUAGGGACAGUUGGGGGUAUUCGUAUUUCAUUGUCAGAGGUGGAAUUCUUGGAUUUUUGAAAGACGAACUACUGCGAAAGCAUUUACCAAGGAUGUUUUCAUUAA
Molecule: ribosomal RNA, 380 nt
Filed under: uncultured eukaryote
Lineage: Eukaryota
Description: partial 18S ribosomal RNA
Rfam family: Eukaryotic small subunit ribosomal RNA
Source: RNAcentral